Molecule: small RNA, 741 nt
Filed under: Histoplasma capsulatum var. duboisii H88
Lineage: Eukaryota; Fungi; Ascomycota; Eurotiomycetes; Onygenales; Ajellomycetaceae
Description: Histoplasma capsulatum H88 hypothetical RNA
Source: RNAcentral
AUUAGACAUCAAUUAAUUCAACAUAUCUGAUAUUCAGUAUUUUGGGGCAAUAGUCGGACGGACAUUCCAUCGUUCCGACACAGGGCAGCUGUGGAUCCUUACCACCCUCCUUGAUGAGCUCUAUCAUAUGAUCUAUAUCAGGGCCCCAGUGAGGAGAGAGCUCUUCAGCUGCUUUUUCAUCAAAUACACUCAUGAAAUCUUGAUAGAUCUGAGGGAGCUCCUUACACAGUUGCUUAGAGUCUCUUGACUCAAGUUUCUCUAACACUUUUUGAAUAUCUGUCAUACUGACAGUGAACACUUGAACAUUCUUCUUCUUAUGAGCUUGAUGAAUGAGUGUACUAUAGACCACUGCUGAUAUCUGAGUGAGGUCAGUGAUCUUAUUGAUAUCUUUUUCAUAAACUUAAUCUCUGUCAGAAAAGGCAAGGCAGCAGUUGCAGAUAUUCAUCAGAAUACUGAAUUCUAUAAGCUAUAAUAGACUAAGCAUUAGAUUAUACUUGAGAUCUUCUAUCUUAUACAUGUAGACAUUCUUUUUCUCAUGCUUUUCUACAUUGACAUUGAACUUGAUUAUAUUGAAGAAGGCUGAUUCUCUAGAGCUAUUGAAUUCAGUGAGUUUAUACAGUUCAGAGAAGAGAAUAUGCUGAAGCUUAUACUUUUCAACUAGCCAAGUGUUUAUAAGAGUGUAAUGAAGAAAACCACUGUCUAUCAUUGCUUGUAUAUUGACUAAGCUAUUUACAAUGACAG